This 440-nucleotide ribosomal RNA is filed under the name uncultured bacterium. RNAcentral describes it as "partial 16S ribosomal RNA". It matches the Rfam family "Bacterial small subunit ribosomal RNA", at positions 338 to 795 of the family's 1533-position model. The record is from RNAcentral.
CCUACGGGAGGCAGCAGUGGGGCAUAUUGCACAAUGGGGGAAACCCUGAUGCAGCGACGCCGCGUGAGUGAAGCCGUAAUUCGUUAUGUAAAGCUCUAUCAGCAGGGAAGAAAAUGACGGUACGUGAGUAAGAAGCCCCGGCUAACUACGUGCCAGCAGCAGCGGUAAUACGUCGGGGGCAAGCGUUAUCCGGAUUUACAGAGUGUAAAGGGGGCGUAGACGGCAGUGCAAGUCUGGAGUGAAAGGCGGGGGCUCAACCCCCGGACUGCUCUGGAAACGGUACGGCUGGAGUGCAGGAGAGGUAAGUGGAAUUCCUAGUGUAGCGGUGAAAUGCGUAGAUAUUAGGAGGAACACCAGUGGCGAAGGCGGCUUACUGGACUGUAACUGACGUUGAGGCUCGAAAGCGUGGGGAGCAAACAGGAUUAGAUACCCGUGUAGUC